Molecule: ribosomal RNA, 253 nt
Filed under: uncultured Sediminibacterium sp.
Lineage: Bacteria; Pseudomonadati; Bacteroidota; Chitinophagia; Chitinophagales; Chitinophagaceae
Description: partial 16S ribosomal RNA
Rfam family: Bacterial small subunit ribosomal RNA
Source: RNAcentral
UACGGAGGGUGCAAGCGUUAUCCGGAUUCACUGGGUUUAAAGGGUGUGUAGGCGGGCAGUUAAGUCAGUGGUGAAAUCUCCAGGCUCAACCUGGAAACUGCCAUUGAUACUAUCUGUCUUGAAUAUCGUUGAGGUGGGCAGAAUAUAUCAUGUAGCGGUGAAAUGCAUAGAUAUGAUAUAGAAUACCGAUUGCGAAGGCAGCUCACUAAGCGUGUAUUGACGCUGAGGCACGAAAGCGUGGGGAUCAAACAGG